Molecule: long non-coding RNA, 466 nt
Organism: Herpailurus yagouaroundi (jaguarundi)
Lineage: Eukaryota; Metazoa; Chordata; Mammalia; Carnivora; Felidae
Exons: 3
Source: RefSeq, a predicted model, not a curated record
GCAGGAGCAAGUGCCUGGAGGAGAGGGGUUGCAGGAGCCGGCUGUCGCAGCCACAAAGCCUUGCCUAACUCCAAGCCCUGACCUACACAAGGGUACAUAGUCCCCCUGAAGGGAAAGCUGGGGGAGUCGGGACCGACCUGCCGGGUCGGGGCCUGGUGGACUGCUCGGUAUCUUCACUGAGGGCCCCCGGGAGCCUGGAUUACUGGUGGCUGUGAGCAGGGUGGGAUGCCUACGUGAGAGCAGCAGAGAAGCUCCAUAUAACUCGCAGGGAAGAAACACCAGGGAAAUGAAGAAGAGAAAACUGAGACACUGAGUCUUCAUUUACUUCCUGCCACUGAAAGGCGAAGAAAGGCAAGGCAAACAGUGGAAGAGAAAAAGAAAUGAGCAAGGGAGAUCGGGGAAAAGAGGAGCUACAUAAUUCAUCUGUUGCUGUCAGAAAUGGCAUGAAAUUAAAAUCCUUAAAAGA